This 566-nucleotide long non-coding RNA is filed under the name Androctonus crassicauda. Lineage: Eukaryota; Metazoa; Arthropoda; Arachnida; Scorpiones; Buthidae. The record is from RNAcentral.
AAACACAGUGUGCUUGUAAAAAUAUAGGGUUCAUAAAAUGCGCACAUUGUCAAAAAAUAUUAUGUUUUUAAGAAACGAAAAUCAUACACUGCCAAGAAUUAAUAGGUGAAUUAUAAAACACGUAUUAAUCCUUAUACGUAUAAAAUUCACGUAUAAAACACACACUGUACAACAUACACGAGUCAAAAAGAAGAACUACAUUGGAUCGUAACCCAAGCCGUAAACCAUGGAUAUAAUAAACAUACAAUUCUAAGCUUAUGGAAUAGAAUAACCAAGCGGAUAAAUAAGAAACCAAAAACUGCAGAUAUCAAUCCUAUAAACUUUCUAAAUCUGGAAAUCAACCCGGUUACUAUGCGGUAUAAAAACAAAAUUGAAAAAUAUACACAAUCACAGGUUAACAGAAGGAAUACGUUAUUUAAUAUAUUGCGGAAUGACAAGGAUAAGAAGAACCCCUUACAAAGACCUGGCGUAUAUGAAAUACCAGUGAGAGAUGACAUGUUAAACCAACAGAUUAAAUAUAUAGGCUAUACUUCAAGAUCCCUCGCUAAACGGUUAGAGGAACACAA